Molecule: ribosomal RNA, 380 nt
Filed under: Uraeotyphlus narayani (Kannan caecilian)
Lineage: Eukaryota; Metazoa; Chordata; Amphibia; Gymnophiona; Ichthyophiidae
Description: partial 12S ribosomal RNA
Rfam family: Bacterial small subunit ribosomal RNA
Source: RNAcentral
UGCUUAGUUACAAAUUAAAAUUACAAUCUAAUCCGCCAGAAUACUACGAGCAAACGCUUAAAACUCAAAGGACUUGGCGGCGCCCAAAAUCCCCCCAGAGGAGCCUGUUCUAUAAUCGAUAACCCCCGCUUAACCUCACCACCCUUUGCAUUUGCAGUCUAUAUACCUCCGUCUACAACUCACCCUAUUGAAGGAUAACCAGUGGGUAAAAUUAACUAAUUAAAAACGUCAGGUCAAGGUGUAACAUAUAGAGUGGAAAGAAAUGGGCUACAUUCCCUUAUCAAGUGAAUACGGACACACUAAUGAAAAACCUGUUAGAAGGCGGAUUUGGUAGUAAAAAGAAACAAGCGAGUUCUUUUUAAAAUGGCCCUUGGGCGCGC